This is a long non-coding RNA of Homo sapiens (human), 766 nucleotides long. Ensembl annotates it as long intergenic non-protein coding RNA 2008. NCBI's taxonomy places the organism in Eukaryota, Metazoa, Chordata, Mammalia, Primates, Hominidae. The record is from Ensembl.
GGAUUUGAACGGCGGGCAGGAAGUACUCGAGUAGGGAGUCUGGCCUAGUGAAAGUCUCUGUUUCCUCCUUUUCUUACUUUUCACUCAAUAAAACCCUGCUUUACACACCCUUCAAACCAUCUGUGAGCCUGAAUUUUUACGGCCAUGGGACAGACAAGGAUCCUGUCUUUAUCUAAACUAAGGAAAAGUCCUGCAACAUUUGUGGUGCACAACGUGGGGCUCGAGAAGUGAUCAUCCAAAGUCCAGCUACCACAAUAUGUCUGGAUUGAAUCUUAAGGAUUCUUCCUGUUAUUCAUGAAAACGCCUAUUUUGGAGUGAAACCAGGGCCGCCUUAUGAGCUAAACAGAGUGUGUUACAGCUUCAAUAGACUAAACAAGCUCUAAAUUUAUCUUCCUAUGGUCACGGGAUCUCAUAUAUUCUGGCUGUCAUUGUCAUAAUAAGCCACUCUUGGUCAUAUGGAAAAGCAUUCAGCUGCUCCCUGCCUUUGCUCACAGCGUGUGGUACUCUCUUAGAAGCUAUUCCUGUCCUAUUUAGGCAGUUAUUCCUGCUUCUUGUGUUGGACCUGAAGUCAACAGGGCCAGCAAUAGAGAAGAAAGAUGAUGUGAAGGAGAGCAACUGAAAUGGGAGAGUUCUCUGACCCACUCGUGGAACCUGCUUGGGCUGCCAUGUGCUCAAACCCUUUAUGGAGGGGAGAUGCAGACAGAUUAAUAAACUGAGGCAAACAGAAACUAGGAAACUUGCAGAAUAAAUGAAUAAAGAAAUAAAA